UGGGGGAAAGGCCUCCAAGGCGACGACGGGUAGCCGGCCUGAGAGGGCGACCGGCCACACUGGGACUGAAACACGGCCCAGACUCCUACGGGAGGCAGCAGUGGGGAAUAUUGCACAAUGGGCGCAAGCCUGAUGCAGCGACGCCGCGUGAGGGAUGACGGCCUUCGGGUUGUAAACCUCUUUCAGCAGGGAAGAAGCGAAAGUGACGGUACCUGCAGAAGAAGCGCCGGCUAACUACGUGCCAGCAGCCGCGGUAAUACGUAGGGCGCAAGCGUUGUCCGGAAUUAUUGGGCGUAAAGAGCUCGUAGGCGGUUUGUCGCGUCUGCUGUGAAAACUCGAGGCUCAACCUCGGGCCUGCAGUGGGUACGGGCAGACUAGAGUGCGGUAGGGGAGACUGGAAUUCCUGGUGUAGCGGUGGAAUGCGCAGAUAUCAGGAGGAACACCGAUGGCGAAGGCAGGUCUCUGGGCCGCAACUGACGCUGAGGAGCGAAAGCAUGGGGAGCGAACAGGAUUAGAUACCCUGGUAGUCCAUGCCGUAAACGUUGGGCACUAGGUGUGGGGCUCAUUCCACGAGUUCCGUGCCGCAGCAAACGCAUUAAGUGCCCCGCCUGGGGAGUACGGCCGCAAGGCUAAAACUCAAAGAAAUUGACGGGGGCCCGCACAAGCGGCGGAGCAUGCGGAUUAAUUCGAUGCAACGCGAAGAACCUUACCAAGGCUUGACAUACACCGGAAACUUCCAGAGAUGGUUGCCCCGCAAGGUCGGUGUACAGGUGGUGCAUGGUUGUCGUCAGCUCGUGUCGUGAGAUGUUGGGUUAAGUCCCGCAACGAGCGCAACCCUCGUCCUAUGUUGCCAGCGGGUUAUGCCGGGGACUCAUAGGAGACUGCCGGGGUCAACUCGGAGGAAGGUGGGGAUGACGUCAAAUCAUCAUGCCCCUUAUGUCUUGGGCUUCACGCAUGCUACAAUGGCCGGUACAAAGGGCUGCGAUACCGCAAGGUGGAGCGAAUCCCAAAAAGCCGGUCUCAGUUCGGAUUGGGGUCUGCAACUCGACCCCAUGAAGUCGGAGUCGCUAGUAAUCGCAGAUCAAGGCCACCGCCUGUCA
Molecule: ribosomal RNA, 1100 nt
Filed under: bacterium ICN10
Lineage: Bacteria
Description: bacterial SSU rRNA
Rfam family: Bacterial small subunit ribosomal RNA
Source: RNAcentral